UUAUUUUUAAAAAAAAAAUUGAAUUUUUUUACAUUUAUUGACCGCAUCAUCGCGAUGCACCCGCAUCCAGACCACAUCGAGCCACAUCGUCGCAUCGGCCCCCCACCUCAUCAAGGCCGCAUCCUUCAUUUUAAAACACUGUUUGAAACCUAAAACCCAUUAGAGCCUAUUUUAGAGCGAGAAAAACCCCAAAAAAAAUUUCUUUUUACUGGGCCGCAGCGGUUCUGAGCGCUCACCUAGGUGCUGGGCGGCUUAGACCCCUGGCCGCCUAGCGCCUUUUGAAACACUGAUGCUAAGUGAUGCAGCACCUUCAAAGGCCUGAUGUUCCCUACCUGCACCAAGCGAUUCAGCCCUCCAGAGGACCUCGCGUCCCAGAUCUGCACCAAGCGAUUCAGACCUCCUGUCCUCAAGCUGAACCUAGCGAUUCAGCCCUCUAUGGGGCCUUCUGUUUAUAACCUACACAAGGUUAUUCAGCCAUGUCCUAGAGCAAUUGUUGCUUCGCCAAUUAUAGCACCACCAGCUCUCCUUCAGGAUUGAGUUCUCUGCCUAUUGCUGGGGUCGCACCUCAUGUACAAGAGCAAGCACCUCCUGUACAGUCUCUCUACUUGAAAGAAACAGCAAGUGUUUUCCCAAGCUCGUAAAGCCAUUAUAUCUCCUAGUGGUCUUCACUGCCCAAGCAAAGGCAUCACGUUUCCUCGGAGGCCUGGGUAUGGAGAGGCUGGUCGGUUGAUAAAGUUGAAGGCAAAUUUCUUCCAUUUGGAGUUGCCCCAAAAAGAUGUUUACCACUAUAAUGUGAGUUAGGUUCUUUCUCAAGCUUUGUGAUGCAUGUGCGUCACUUAUUGCAUGUUGGGCUUGUAGAUCUAAUUUAUGAGUAUCGUCUAUGAGAAACAUCAAAUGAUUUGUUUAACUCGUAAUGUGUUAAUAUGGGGGAAUCUAAUUGCGACUAGUUUGUUACAAAUAAUGUGUAAGUAUUUAGGUUUAACAGCAUCUCAUUUGCAAUGGUUGAUCCCGAGGCUGACUUGGUGCCUGAGCGUCACUUUAAUCUGGGAUAUUGUUGGGCUGCCUUGGCACCUGAGCUUAGAUUUUGAAGGAGACUUUGUCCACAUCCAUACAUUUUUCAGUUUCUAUCUUUCCUGAAAGCCUUGUUAUCCUUCUCUUAUGAUAUUUCUUUUGUCCUCACUUUUGAAGAUCCCAACUCUCCUUUAUGUAAUGUGAGCUUACUUUAAACUUUUUAAAGUUUGGAGCAUUUUAAACUGUAUUGAGGUUGUAGAUGGCAGAUGUGGGGGAAGCUAAUAGAUUAUAUACUUAUAUUAAUUUACUUUUUUUCCUUAAUCUUCGUAAUCAAAGUAAGUUAUUGCCUUGUAGGUUUUAGCUUUUUUGAGAACGUUCCUAGUUGACUUGUCCUAGGUGGUCAUCCUUUUCUCUGAUGAGCUGACGAUCCGAUUGUCCAACCGGGAAAAUGUGUAAGGGCGACUUGAGAGGGCUCCCGAUUGCCUAGUGCUUUUGAAUGUUGUGGUGCUAGAUUUAAUCAUUCAGCAUAUCAAAAUAUUUCUAUAACAUACAAACGAGAGGCUUAGGUACAUACACGCACAUAUGGAGAAGUGUAUGAUGGUAGCAAUUGCCCUACUCUUCAGAAUGCACAUCAACUAUCCAUUGUGAACAGAAAAUGGUUGAUGUAUUUUGUUUCAAUGCAUAAGUCUGUCAUGCCCAGAGAAAAUGGCUGAUAUAAACACAAAUGCAUUUGUAGGGUACGACCUCCAAAUGUUGUGUUCAACAGAGAAUCUAGCCAAAUCAGCCAUCUUAUCUGAAUAAUAUAACGCAACCUCCCAAAUGUUGUCCUCAACAGAUAACCUAGCCAAAUUAGCCAUCUUAUCUGAAUAAUAUAAAAUGCAUAUAUGAUACGCUAUACCAUUCGGCCAAUCUGGAUACCGAUUCAGAUAAUUUGGAUCGGUAUUAGUGGGUAGGGGCUCCAGCCUACUGAUCCAUUUUUUGAAAGUGUACAAUGAAUGUCAGGAAUUUACAAACACAUCACUAAUAGUUUGCAUUUUUUAAUGUCAUUGCACAUGCUUAUAGUUGUGUUUGCUUCCAGGUAACCAUUUCUCCCAAGUACCAUCAAGGCACACUAAUCAUGCAGUUAUCUCUGAACUCAGAGAAAUUCAUGGAGAUAAGGAACUGAGCAAUUGUUAGCCUGUCUAUGAUGUUAAAAAAAAAAUAUUGCUGGAAAAUUACCACUUUCAUCAAAGAAGUUUACAAUAAGAUUAACCCAGGAAGAAAGGUACUCUAUCUUCGGUUUGCUUGGCAACUCAUGUGAAUCCAUGGAGCUAUUCUUCAACAUAAAACAUAACUCUCUGGUUAAUGCAUCUGACAAGCUUUUCGAAAUUCUUCCUUAAUGAAUGAGGUCUUAUUGAUAAAAUGGUGGUGGCGUAGUUUAUGUUUCAAGGACCAGCUUUGUUGCAAGGUCUUAACUGCAAAAUAUGGUGUGGAUAACUAUGGUAUAUGGAUUGGAGAUAGUAGAAGAAGUAAAUUGAUGUCUGUGCUUUGUUGCAAGGUCUUAACUGCAAAAUAUGGUGUGGAUAACUAUGGUAUAUGGAUUGGAGAUAGUAGAAGAAGUAAAUUGAUGUCUGUUUUUUGGAAGGAUAUAUUUUUGUUCAAAGCCUAUCUCCAUAGAGACAUUCGAUGGUGUAUGGGGAAUGGAGCCCAAAUUCCAUUUUGGCAUCAUAAGUGGCUUGGGGAUAGUCUUUUGAAGAUCGCUUUCCCUGAAUUAUUCGCUAAGACUUCUUAUCCUAAUGCUUUGAUAAGUGAUACUUAUCAGGUGGUAUGGGAUAUUCAGUUUCCUUAUAACCAUGUAAAUGAUAAUAUGGUGGCACAUAUCACGGGCUUGUUAGCACAUUUAUAGGAAGUGUGUAUAUCCAAUUAUAUUGGUGAUGAGUUGGUUUGGGAGCACAGUAAGGAUGGUCUUUUUUCGGUAAAAACAAUAUACGCUCUUGUUUCAUGAUCGCUACAGAUGGUCUUCCCAAAUAUGUAAGUGGUCUAUUUCUCACAAAGUUUAGUGUUUUAUGUGGUUGGCUGGGCAAAAUAAAGUUCUUACCCUUGAUAAUCUCAUUAAAUGAAGAAAGAUCUUACCCAAUGUAUGCUUAAUGUGUAAAGAGGACGGGGAGUCGUUUUCAUAUCUAUUUCUUCGUUGUCGCCUUGCCAUAGGUAUUUGAAACUAUUUCUUUGGUUUGAUUAGCUUUAUGAUGACUCUACCUCAAAGUGGUUUGGGUAUCAUCUCACAAUUGAUGUUUUCGGCUCUACUUAAAGCGGGGUCUAUGAUUUGGCAAAUUGUAAGAGGUAUUAUGUGUUGGGAAAUUUGGAAAGAGAGGAAUAGACGUACUUAAAAAUGUCAAGGGCUUUCUGAUGAUGAUCUUCUACAGCGUAUACUUCAUACUAUAUGGAGUCGGGUAUCUAUCACCAAAGAUGGAAGAGGCAUUACUGAGAUCGAUGUGCGUUUAAAUUUGGCCAAUCUUGCUUUUCUAAUAGGACAAGGCCAAGAAUGAACGGUAGAUGGAUACCCCCUGUACUAGGUUGUUUGAAACUAAAUUUUGAUGGUAGUUCUAUGGGUAAUCCUGAGAAUGCAAGGGUUGGAGGUGUAGUGCAAGAUUGGACUGGGUCAAUUAUUCUCUCUUAUGCUGGAACUAUUGAGUGGGCAAUGGCGAACAUGGCAGAAUUCACAGCGUUGCUUAAAGGAUUGUUGUUUAUUAAAGCCUUGAAUUUGGGCCAUUGCAUUGUUGUGGAAGGUCAUUAUUUAAAUAUGAUAAAGUGGUGCAACAAGCAACUUCAUGUUCCUUGGAUGUUGCAAUCAAUUUGGGGCCAAGUUUUGGACUUAGAAGGGGUAUUAUCUUUAUCCUUCUAGCAUGUGUUCAGAGAAUAUAAUGGUAUUAUUGAUGGAUUGGCUAAGAGAGGGGUGUCGAUAGAUUCUAUUUCGAUUUUGAAUGAUGUAACUACUGAGUGAUGUGAGUGCUGAGAGUUGUAAUCAUGGUUUAG
This is a non-coding RNA of Amborella trichopoda, 4023 nucleotides long. Lineage: Eukaryota; Viridiplantae; Streptophyta; Magnoliopsida; Amborellales; Amborellaceae. The record is from RefSeq and is a predicted model, not a curated record.